This 959-nucleotide ribosomal RNA is filed under the name Parapercnia giraffata. RNAcentral describes it as "partial 16S rRNA". Lineage: Eukaryota; Metazoa; Arthropoda; Insecta; Lepidoptera; Geometridae. The record is from RNAcentral.
AAAGAGUUAAAUAAUUAUUAAAGUUAUUGUGGCAUAAUUAUUUUAAAUAAUUAUUUUGAAAUGAAAUGUUAUUCGUUUUAAAAGAUAUCUAGUUUUUUUAGAAAAAAAUUUAAUUUUUAAUUUUAAUUAAAAAAAAAUUAAUUAAUUAAUUUUUUUUAAUUAAAAUUAUAUAUUUUAAGGGAUAAGCUUUAAAUUAAAUUUUUAUAAUUAUUUAUUUUAAUUUAAUGAAAAUUUUAUAAUUUAUAUUGUUAAUAAAUUUUAUUUUAUUAUAAAUAAUUUCAUUAAAAAAAAAAAUUUAAAGUAUAAUUUAAUUUUUUAUAAAAAUAUAAUUUUAAAUUAAAUAAAAUUAAAAAUAAUGAUAAAAUUAGUAUAUUAAAAUAAAAUAAAUUAAUUUUAAAUUAAAAAUUUAUUUAAAUUAAUUAAUUAAAAGGAAUUCGGCAAAAUUUAUUUUCACUUGUUUAUCAAAAACAUGUCUUUUUGUUAUUUAUUUAAAGUCUAAUCUGCCCACUGAUUAAAAUUAAAGGGCUGCAGUAUAUUGACUGUACAAAGGUAGCAUAAUCAUUAGUCUCUUAAUUGGUGACUUGUAUGAAAGAUUGGAUGAAAAAUAUACUGUCUCUUAAUUAUUUAAUAAAAUUUAAUUUUUUAUUUAAAAAGUUAAAAUAAGUUAAAAAGACGAGAAGCCCCUAUAGAGUUUUAUAAAUAUUUUUAUAAUGAAUUAUUUAUUUAAAUAAAAUUUUUAUAAAUUUAUUUAUUUUGUUGGGGUGAUAAAAAAAUAAAUUUAACUUUUUUUUUAUUUAAACAUAAAUAAGUGAAUUUUUGAUCCAUUAAUAUUGAUUAAAAGAUUAAAUUCCCUUAGGGAUAACAGCGUAAUUUUUUUUUUUAGUUCGUAUAAAAAAAAAAGUUUGCGACCUCGAUGUUGGAUUAAGAUAAAAUUUAAAUGCAAAAGUUUAAAAUUUUUG